GUGCGUUUGUCGCGCUUGUUCGUGAAAACUCACAGCUUAACUGUGGGCGUGCGGGCGAUACGGGCAGACUAGAGUACUGCAGGGGAGACUGGAAUUCCUGGUGUAGCGGUGGAAUGCGCAGAUAUCAGGAGGAACACCGGUGGCGAAGGCGGGUCUCUGGGCAGUAACUGACGCUGAGGAGCGAAAGCGUGGGGAGCGAACAGGAUUAGAUACCCUGGUAGUCCACGCCGUAAACGGUGGGUACUAGGUGUGGGUUUCCUUCCUUGGGAUCCGUGCCGUAGCUAACGCAUUAAGUACCCCGCCUGGGGAGUACGGCCGCAAGGCUAAAACUCAAAGGAAUUGACGGGGGCCCGCACAAGCGGCGGAGCAUGUGGAUUAAUUCGAUGCAACGCGAAGAACCU
Molecule: ribosomal RNA, 401 nt
Filed under: Mycobacterium sp.
Lineage: Bacteria; Bacillati; Actinomycetota; Actinomycetes; Mycobacteriales; Mycobacteriaceae
Description: bacterial SSU rRNA
Rfam family: Bacterial small subunit ribosomal RNA
Source: RNAcentral